This 497-nucleotide ribosomal RNA is filed under the name uncultured bacterium. Its description in RNAcentral is "partial 16S ribosomal RNA". It matches the Rfam family "Bacterial small subunit ribosomal RNA", at positions 28 to 507 of the family's 1533-position model. The record is from RNAcentral.
GAUGAACGCUGGCGGCGUGCCUAAUACAUGCAAGUCGAGCGAACAGAUGAGGAGCUUGCUCCUCUGACGUUAGCGGCGGACGGGUGAGUAACACGUGGAUCACCUACCUAUAAGACUGGGAUAACUUCGGGAAACCGGAGCUACUACCGGAUAAUAUAUUGAACCGCAUGGUUCAAUAGUGAAAGACGGUUUUGCUGUCACUUAUAGAUGGAUCCGCGCCGCAUUAGCUAGUUGGUAAGGUAACGGCUUACCAAGGCAACGAUGCGUAGCCGACCUGAGGGGGUGAUCGGCCACACUGGAACUGAGACACGGUCCAGACUCCUACGGGAGGCAGCAGUAGGGAAUCUUCCGCAAUGGGCGAAAGCCUGACGGAGCAACGCCGCGUGAGUGAUGAAGGUCUUCGGAUCGUAAAACUCUGUUAUUAGGGAAGAACAAAUGUGUAAGUAACUAUGCACGUCUUGACGGUACCUAAUCAGAAAGCCACGGCUAACUACGUG